GCGGGAAUGCUGGAAUUGGCAGACAGGCAAGACUAAGGAUCUUGUGUGUUAUACACGUAGGGGUUCAAGUCCCCUUUCCCGCA
This 83-nucleotide transfer RNA is filed under the name Lachnospiraceae bacterium. RNAcentral's name for it is "tRNA-Leu". It matches the Rfam family "tRNA". From Rfam's summary of the family: Transfer RNA (tRNA) molecules are approximately 80 nucleotides in length. The record is from RNAcentral. RNAcentral also lists the same sequence under 1 other name. Lineage: Bacteria; Bacillati; Bacillota; Clostridia; Lachnospirales; Lachnospiraceae.